UCUGUUUGAAGUUCCUAAGAGAGGUUACAAAAGAAAGGGAUGCUCAAACCAAGGAUUUGGAGUCUUAUUAGUGCAUCAAUCUACAGAAAGGUAGGGGGGCAUACCUGUGGGAAAAUGGAGUGUAAAGCAUAUUCUAGAUAUUUCACUUCGAAUUUCUUCCUCUUAAAAGAGUCAAGUCCGCAGGGUUCCCUAAAUUCCCCAGGAAUCAAGUGGGACCGGGAGAUCGUUGUUCAUU
RNAcentral lists this long non-coding RNA (235 nucleotides) under Hordeum vulgare. RNAcentral describes it as "long non-coding RNA (HVUL_LNC012592)". Lineage: Eukaryota; Viridiplantae; Streptophyta; Magnoliopsida; Poales; Poaceae. The record is from RNAcentral.